UGACAUCUCUGAUGGUCCUGUGAAAGCGAACACCCAGUCACCCCUCGCAGUAGCCAGUCAUAGCUCUGUGAUCUUGGGGAAGUUACUGAACAUCUCUAGGCCUCUACUGUUCCUUCAGAAAAUGGAGUGUUUACUAAUACGCUCACUUUCCAACCUCUACAUGACCAUGAAAGGAUAAUCCACAGGACCUCACGUGGGGGUGAGCGGAGGCUUAUCUCAGCUGCCCGGCUCUCGGAGGCCUUGAAAUGAAAGCCUGCGCUUCUUCAGUUCCCCAGGUGCAGUAACUAUCCUUACAGAGAACGUCUUCAAAUUCCACUCUGUGCUGCAGCCUAGGCUGGGCCCCAGCCAACCGCAGUGGAGCAGAGAGCUUGUGCUAAUGAGGACAGGACCCACUCGGCAGCCAAGCCCUUUGUGUCCUUCAGGGCCACAGGGAGAGCUGCGGUCCAUGGGUCCGGUUAGAAACUCUUUAGUCCUCCACAAACUUCUCUCAAUCCUAUAGAGAGUCUAGUGAGGUAUGCAAGAAAGAAGUAGGGGAGCAUGCAACAUCCUGAUCUUAUUUGUUUGUUUGUUUGUG
Molecule: long non-coding RNA, 574 nt
Filed under: Equus caballus (horse)
Lineage: Eukaryota; Metazoa; Chordata; Mammalia; Perissodactyla; Equidae
Description: lncRNA (ENSECAG00000054537.1)
Source: RNAcentral